RNAcentral lists this microRNA precursor (116 nucleotides) under Megaselia scalaris. Its description in RNAcentral is "microRNA mir-286". Lineage: Eukaryota; Metazoa; Arthropoda; Insecta; Diptera; Phoridae. The record is from RNAcentral.
UUAAUGAUAUGUGUCUGUGGGUUGGUACAGUUACUCAAAACACUUUAAAUGAAAAAUAGUAAACAUCAAAGUGUUUUGAGUAACUGUACCAAACCACAGACACAUAUCAUCAACAA